RNAcentral lists this ribosomal RNA (1524 nucleotides) under Triticum aestivum (bread wheat). RNAcentral's name for it is "partial small subunit ribosomal RNA". The record is from RNAcentral. Lineage: Eukaryota; Viridiplantae; Streptophyta; Magnoliopsida; Poales; Poaceae.
AUGGCGACGCGCGUCGACUGGCGGCGCAAACACGCGCUGGUCGUGAGCACUCUCACAUCCAGCAUUACCUACAUGACGGGGCUGAGCCUGCCGGGCAGCCUCUUGUCCGGCCAAUGCAAUGGAGAUACUAAUCGGGCUCUCAAGAAAUCUCCAACACAUCUGCUCUUGUUCGGGACUCUUGCGAUGAGUGCCACUUAUCAAGAUCAACUGGCCCCACCGGGCGGCUUUUGGCAAGGCGAAGCGACCGGUGCCCAUUACCGCUCCCACGCCUUUCUUCUCCACGUGAGAAUCCCGGUGUUCUUGUGCUGCAACGCCUCCUUCUUUCUCAUGUCGCUGGCUGUCGUCCUGAUCAUUCUCCUGAUGGAUGUAUUCGGCGCACUAGGAAUCAAGUACUACCGCGUCUUGUUGGUAGCCAUGAUCCUGGACCAGUUUAUCCUGAUCGUGAUCGGAGCCUAUAUCGCCGCGUUCAGAGAGAAGAUGGAGCUCUGUGUGCCCCGUAGGCUGAAGAUGUUGUUUGCUGGUCCGUCAACCAAUGGACACGCAGAGGGGGCGGUAGGCAUGUCACUGAAGCUGGAGAAGAGGCGCAAGCUUCUGCUGCUCCUUGCAAUUCUCGCAGGAAUUCGCGCGUACCAUGCCGGUGCGGGCUUCCCACCCGAUGACCCAUUCAACUACUACGGGUGCCUGGUGUUCUCGUACUGCAAAGCCACCGUCUUUCUCGCGUCCCUAUCCAUCAUCGUGAUGCCGGUGAACAGGAAGGCCCCGUCAGCGAGAGGACUGCGAUGGCACGCGCUGCGGUUGUCUGUGAUCCUUGUCGUGACCGGCCUCGCUGGCGUCUUCGCCGCCGGGCGCUACAGGAUCAAUGUCCUCGUUCUGCUCUUGGCAGUUUUACUCUGCAUCGCGUUCGAAGUUACACCGUCCAUCUUCGGAACGGCGGGAGGCCUGGUGCAGACACUGGCACCGAGCCUCGGAGCGGCGGAAGAGGAGGAUGGCUCCGAGGACGAGUUGGAGUUCAGCAUAGGGGGUGGGACGAAGGAGGAACCCUUCGGAAUGGAGAUCUCGUCUCCGAUCCUCGGGGGCGCGCUCACUCUGAUCCUCGCCGUCCCUAUGGUGUCCAUCCUCGCCGCUCCAGUGAAGUUGCUCGUGGCAAUAAUGAUCGCCUCAAUCGGGGUGCCCCUCUGGCGGAGGUCCUUCACCCCGCUGUCCAGAGCUCUCCAACGCCGGUGCACUGUGAGCCUCCAAGGUACCACCUACCACGCCCGCGCCGGCAUCGACUGGUUCCGUCUCCGGCGCCUCCUCGACUCCCCGGGAACAACUGCUGUCCGCGCUAUGCCAUGGACUGUGCAAGGUGAUACACGCGCUGUGUUCGGGAACAUGGAUGUGGAUCCUGAUCUUGGUUGCAUCGGUUCCCUAGCUGAGGCACAACCUCAAGCUGAAGUUCAAGAUCUCCAAGAUAACAGCCGUACUAUGCCUAGGCGUGCAGGUUGUCUGUGCACCGCCCACGACAGGCACGGUCACGGCUACUAG